Molecule: non-coding RNA, 124 nt
Organism: Hordeum vulgare subsp. vulgare (domesticated barley)
Lineage: Eukaryota; Viridiplantae; Streptophyta; Magnoliopsida; Poales; Poaceae
Source: Rfam
GUUGUACUCCCUUCAUCCGAAAAUAUUUGUUCUAAAGAUGAAUGUAUCUAGACUUAUUUUAGUUAUAGAUAUAUCCAUUAUAUCCAUUUCUAGGACAAGUAUUUCCGAACGGAGGAAGUAUAUG